AUGCUCUGGUUUCUCUUCAGAACUAACAAAUAUUUCGCCUUUUAUUAAAGAUUUCCGUGGAGAGGAGCAAAACUGAGUUUUAUCUCAAUUUUUUGCAUGCCCCAUAUUAUUGGGGUU
Small nuclear RNA from Pseudophryne corroboree (corroboree frog), 117 nucleotides. RefSeq annotates it as U5 spliceosomal RNA. Lineage: Eukaryota; Metazoa; Chordata; Amphibia; Anura; Myobatrachidae. The transcript has a single exon. The record is from RefSeq and is a predicted model, not a curated record.